This 85-nucleotide transfer RNA is filed under the name Felis catus (domestic cat). It matches the Rfam family "tRNA". Rfam says of the family: Transfer RNA (tRNA) molecules are approximately 80 nucleotides in length. Their secondary structure includes four short double-helical elements and three loops (D, anti-codon, and T loops). Further hydrogen bonds mediate the characteristic L-shaped molecular structure. tRNAs have two regions of fundamental functional importance: the anti-codon, which is responsible for specific mRNA codon recognition, and the 3' end, to which the tRNAs corresponding amino acid is attached (by aminoacyl-tRNA synthetases). tRNAs cope with the degeneracy of the genetic code in two manners: having more than one tRNA (with a specific anti-codon) for a particular amino acid; and 'wobble' base-pairing, i.e. permitting non-standard base-pairing at the 3rd anti-codon position. Lineage: Eukaryota; Metazoa; Chordata; Mammalia; Carnivora; Felidae. The record is from Rfam by way of RNAcentral.
GCCUGGGUGGCUCAGUCGGUUAAGCGUCCGACUUCGGCUCAGGUCACGAUCUCACUGUUCGUGAGUUCGAGCCCCGCCUUGGGCU